This 20-nucleotide unclassified non-coding RNA is filed under the name Mus musculus (house mouse). Its description in RNAcentral is "oocyte_clustered_small_RNA11830". The record is from RNAcentral. Lineage: Eukaryota; Metazoa; Chordata; Mammalia; Rodentia; Muridae.
CCACCCUGGGCGUGGAGGUG